Pipra filicauda (Wire-tailed manakin) is the source of this 1832-nucleotide long non-coding RNA. RefSeq lists it as uncharacterized. NCBI's taxonomy places the organism in Eukaryota, Metazoa, Chordata, Aves, Passeriformes, Pipridae. The transcript is spliced from 3 exons. The record is from RefSeq and is a predicted model, not a curated record.
GCAGAUACGGCGAGACCGGCGCUGUCGUGUCCCUGCUUCCCCUUGCCUUUUUCUUUUCUUUCUAAUUGGCAUUAUAAGCGCGUAUAAGUGUCUAAAGCGGGGGUGCCAAGAGAACAGAGCCAGGCUCUGCUCGGUGGUGCCAGCCAACAGAACAAGAGGCAAGGUGCAGAAACUGAUGCCCAGGAAGCUCCACCUGAACACGAGGGUGUUUAGGUGUCUUUACUGGGACAGAUCGCCCGGAGAGGCUGUGGAGUGCCCCUCACUGGAGAGAUUCCAGAACCGCCUGGACACAGUCCUGUGCCGUGUGCUCUGGGCUGGCACUGCUGGAGCAGGGAGGUGGGAGCAGAUGCCCCUCUGUGGUCCCUCCCGACCUGACCCAUCCUGUUACCUGCAGCUCCCUGGCCCCACAACGUGCCCCUGGGCUGGCCCUGGGCAAAGGGCACAUCCAGCUCCUGCAGAAAAUAUGUGGGAAAGGGGUCAUACCCUCAGCUCCUGAAGCAAUGCAUCUCCUCAAAGAGCACCCAAACAAUGGCCUUUUGCAUGUGUUUCCAAAGUGAGCAUCCUGACUCACUGAGCAACUUUCAGCUUGUUUUUCCUCAAAAAUACACAGAUAAAGGAAAAUAAAUAAGGCUAAACAGGCAAAUACUUAGCAUCAUGUGCAAAAUUGUUGUCAGGAUUAAUAUUUUGAAAAUCCAAGCACCUAAAGCUGCAUAAAUGGCUAACUAAAAUCUUCAUGAAUAUCCACACAAUAAAUACAAAAAUCUUCCAAAAUAUAAGCAGCUGUCUCACAACAAUUUUUUAUAUGUGUACUAAUAAAACAGGAAUGCAUCCCCUGAGCAGGUGAACUGAUGUGGAAGAAAAAUAAGCUGGAAAUGUGAAGUGAGAUUUUGCAAGACAGGGAAGAAGUAAGUGUGGAGAGGAAACCCCUCGUACAAUCACUCUUUAGAGCCCAGAAUGUAAAUGAAAGCAUCCAGAUCACAUGAGGUCCCAUUUUGAAAAGAUUUUAUUCAUCCCAGUCUUUGUAAGAUUCUAUUUUUCCCCCAUAAUUUUAUUACAGAACCUGAGUAACUCAAUCUUCUGUCUUUUUCACCCCUUGAUUCCUUAGAAAUAAUAAUUUAAAAAAGAACUUUUUUUGUUGGGUUUGGGGUUUACUUUUCAUGUUCUGCUUGGUGUAAACCAAAUCUGUAGUAGGACUCAACAAAGUGACAACAAGGAGAAAAAAAAUGUAACCCCCCCCUUGUUUCUGUGUUUUCUGUCUCUGAAUUUUUCUCAGGAUACAUGUACCAUGUGCUGCACUUUUUAUCUGGUAGUCCUUGAACAGAAAAUACCCUUUCUUAAAUUUCACAAGUGGCUUUCUGUGUAAAAAAAGAGCUAUAGAAUACAUUAGAAUACCUGAUUCACCUGGGGUUUUUUCCUGCUCUUUUAUAACAGCCUAAGGUGGGAUAAUAUAUUUUUCCUAUGUAGCAGAAUCUCUGCUGCCAUUUUUUAAUUAGGUUCUAAAAAUUGCAUUUGUAUUUUUGUUCGAAACUACUGUGUUGGAUUCAUGUUCUUAUUAUUGUGGUUCUAAUGACCCUCUCUUUUUUUAAUAUUUAUAUGACCACAUAUCACAAGUUUAAAAUAUACAGGAAAUGAGACUAUAACUCCACAUUUGAAACAGAUUUAGUGUCAUCAUGACUUUAUUUACCCUAUAGUGUUCUUUAAACAAAUAUUUGGCAUCUUUUAACAGUGCCAAGGUUAACCCACAUAAAACAAUAGAAAACAAUCCCCCUGUGAAGUAAUAUUUGUACUAAGCAACCUAUUUUAAAAUAUUUAGCAUUCUUUGAUGCUCUGUU